GAAGGGACAGUAAUAGUUUGGACUAAUAUUCAAAAAAAAAAAAAUAUUGUAGCCGAUUGUAUUGGAACUACUCCUUACGAUUUCUUGUAUAUCUUUUUUUUUCUUAAUUUUUAAAUAUUUUGUUUUUUAUUUUUAUGAAUAUAUUUAUAUUCGUAUUGUUUAAUUUAUUUGACUAUGAAAAAAUAAUGGGGGUGAUAACUGGCAUUGUCCCAAGCAUCAACAAAAUGGAGGGAGUCAUGGUGGCCUUCUAUAAUUGGUCAAAGGGA
Molecule: long non-coding RNA, 266 nt
Filed under: Elaeis guineensis (African oil palm)
Lineage: Eukaryota; Viridiplantae; Streptophyta; Magnoliopsida; Arecales; Arecaceae
Description: long non-coding RNA (EGUI_LNC000418)
Source: RNAcentral